RNAcentral lists this ribosomal RNA (253 nucleotides) under uncultured bacterium. RNAcentral's name for it is "partial 16S ribosomal RNA". It matches the Rfam family "Bacterial small subunit ribosomal RNA", at positions 524 to 776 of the family's 1533-position model. The record is from RNAcentral.
UACGUAGGGUGCGAGCGUUAAUCGGAAUUACUGGGCGUAAAGCGUGCGCAGGCGGUCUGUUAAGACAGAUGUGAAAUCCCCGGGCUUAACCUGGGAACUGCAUUUGUGACUGGCAGGCUAGAGUAUGGCAGAGGGGGGUAGAAUUCCACGUGUAGCAGUGAAAUGCGUAGAGAUGUGGAGGAAUACCGAUGGCGAAGGCAGCCCCCUGGGCCAAUACUGACGCUCAUGCACGAAAGCGUGGGGAGCGAACAGG